AGUCGAGGGGCAGCAUAUAGAUUGCUUGCAAUUUAUGAUGGCGACCGGCGCACGGGUGAGUAACGCGUAUCCAACCUACCCAUUACUAGGGAAUAACCCAGCGAAAGUUGGCCUAAUGCCCUAUGUAGUCGUUUGAUCGCCUGAGAUUUCGACGAAAGAUUUAUCGGUAUUGGAUGGGGAUGCGUCUGAUUAGCUUGUUGGCGGGGUAAAGGCCCACCAAGGCAACGAUCAGUAGGGGUUCUGAGAGGAAGGUCCCCCACAUUGGAACUGAGACACGGUCCAAACUCCUACGGGAGGCAGCAGUGAGGAAUAUUGGUCAAUGGGCGAGAGCCUGAACCAGCCAAGUAGCGUGCAGGAUGACGGCCCUAUGGGUUGUAAACUGCUUUUAUAUGGGAAUAAAGUGAGGGACGUGUCCCUUAUUGCAUGUACCAUACGAAUAAGGACCGGCUAAUUCCGUGCCAGCAGCCGCGGUAAUACGGAAGGUCCAGGCGUUAUCCGGAUUUAUUGGGUUUAAAGGGAGCGUAGGCUGUUUGUUAAGCGUGUUGUGAAAUGUAGGAGCUCAACUUUUAGAUUGCAGCGCGAACUGGCAGACUUGAGUGCGCACAACGUAGGCGGAAUUCAUGGUGUAGCGGUGAAAUGCUUAGAUAUCAUGACGAACUCCGAUUGCGAAGGCAGCUUACGGGAGCGCAACUGACGCUAAAGCUC
Molecule: ribosomal RNA, 705 nt
Filed under: uncultured bacterium
Lineage: Bacteria
Description: bacterial SSU rRNA
Rfam family: Bacterial small subunit ribosomal RNA
Source: RNAcentral